UACGUGCAUGAAGAUAGUGACUCAAAGA
This 28-nucleotide non-coding RNA is filed under the name Mus musculus (house mouse). The record is from RNAcentral. Lineage: Eukaryota; Metazoa; Chordata; Mammalia; Rodentia; Muridae.